Molecule: ribosomal RNA, 234 nt
Filed under: uncultured bacterium
Lineage: Bacteria
Description: partial 16S ribosomal RNA
Rfam family: Bacterial small subunit ribosomal RNA
Source: RNAcentral
UGGCGGACGGGUGAGUAAUGUCUGGGAAACUGCCCGAUGGAGGGGGAUAACUACUGGAAACGGUAGCUAAUACCGCAUAACGUCGCAAGACCAAAGAGGGGACCUUCGGGCCUCUUGCCAUCGGAUGUGCCCAGAUGGGGUUAGCUAGUAGGUGGGGUAACGGCUCACCUAGGCGACGAUCCCUAGCUGGUCUGAGAGGAUGACCAGCCACACUGGAACUGAGACACGGUCCAG